Molecule: transfer RNA, 62 nt
Filed under: Batracomorphus allionii
Lineage: Eukaryota; Metazoa; Arthropoda; Insecta; Hemiptera; Cicadellidae
Description: tRNA-Trp
Source: RNAcentral
AAGAUUUUAAGUUAAAUAAACUAUUAACCUUCAAAGUUUAAAAUACAUUAAAGUAGAUCUUA